Molecule: ribosomal RNA, 301 nt
Filed under: uncultured bacterium
Lineage: Bacteria
Description: partial 16S ribosomal RNA
Rfam family: Bacterial small subunit ribosomal RNA
Source: RNAcentral
CAGCCGCCACGGGAAUACAGAGGGUGCGAGCGUUAAUCGGAUUUACUGGGCGUAAAGCGUGCGUAGGCGGCUAAUUGAGUCGGAUGUGAAAUCCCCGAGCUUAACUUGGGAAUUGCAUUCGAUACUGGUUAGCUAGAGUGUGGGAGAGGAUGGUAGAAUUCCAGGUGUAGCGGUGAAAUGCGUAGAGAUCUGGAGGAAUACCGAUGGCGAAGGCAGCCAUCUGGCCUAACACUGACGCUGAGGUACGAAAGCAUGGGGAGCAAACAGGAUUAGAGACCCCUGUAGUCCCUGUCUCUUAUAC